UACGUAGGGGGCAAGCGUUGUCCGGAAUCAUUGGGCGUAAAGCGCGUGUAGGCGGCUGAGUAAGUCUGCUCUGAAAGCCCGGGGCUCAACCCCGGGAGGCGGGUGGAUACUGCUCAGCUCGAGUCCGGAAGAGGAGUGUGGAAUUCCGAGUGUAGAGGUGAAAUUCGUAGAUAUUCGGAGGAACACCAGUGGCGAAGGCGGCUCACUGGUCCGGUACUGACGCUGAGGUGCGAAAGCGUGGGGAGCAAACAGG
This 253-nucleotide ribosomal RNA is filed under the name uncultured bacterium. Its description in RNAcentral is "partial 16S ribosomal RNA". It matches the Rfam family "Bacterial small subunit ribosomal RNA", at positions 524 to 776 of the family's 1533-position model. The record is from RNAcentral.